RNAcentral lists this ribosomal RNA (552 nucleotides) under uncultured bacterium. RNAcentral's name for it is "bacterial SSU rRNA". It matches the Rfam family "Archaeal small subunit ribosomal RNA", at positions 327 to 879 of the family's 1478-position model. The record is from RNAcentral.
GGGGCGCAGCAGGCGCGAAACCUUUACAAUGCACGAAAGUGUGAUAGGGGAUACUCAGUGCUUACGCUUAUGGUGUAGGCUUUUGUCGAUCGUAAAUAGAUCGGCGAAUAAGUGGUGGGAAAGACUGGUGCCAGCCGCCGCGGUAACCCCAGCGCCACAAGUGGUCAUCGCGAUUAUUGGGCCUAAAGCGUUCGUAGCCGGUUUGGUAAAUCUCUUGUGAAAUUGUUCGGCUUAACCGAACAGCGUGCAGGGGACACUGCCAGACUCGAGACCGGGAGGGGUCAGAAGUAUUCCAUGGGGACUGGUAAAAUGGGAUAAUCCAUGGAAGACUACCGAUGGCGAAGGCAUCUGACCAGAACGGAUCUGACGGUGAGGAACGAAAGCCAGGGGAGCGAACCGGAUUAGAUACCCGAGUAGUCCUGGCCGUAAACGCUGUGAGCUAGGUGUCGCGCAUCUCACGAAGAUGCGCGGUGUCGAAUCGAAGGAGCUAAGCUCACCGCCUGGGAAGUACGGUCGCAAGACUGAAACUUUAAGGAAUUGGCGGGGGAGGAC